CUGUGAGGCAUGCUGGAGGUAUCAGAAGUGCGAAUGCUGACAUAAGUAACGAUAAAGCGGGUGAAAAGCCCGCUCGCCGGAAGACCAAGGGUUCCUGUCCAACGUUAAUCGGGGCAGGGUGAGUCGACCCCUAAGGCGAGGCCGAAAGGCGUAGUCGAUGGGAAACAGGUUAAUAUUCCUGUACUUGGUGUUACUGCGAAGGGGGGACGGAGAAGGCUAUGUUGGCCGGGCGACGGUUGUCCCGGUUUAAGCGUGUAGGCUGGUUUUCCAGGCAAAUCCGGAAAAUCAAGGCUGAGGCGUGAUGACGAGGCACUACGGUGCUGAAGCAACAAAUGCCCUGCUUCCAGGAAAAGCCUCUAAGCAUCAGGUAACAUCAAAUCGUACCCCAAACCGACACAGGUGGU
RNAcentral lists this ribosomal RNA (404 nucleotides) under Escherichia coli. Its description in RNAcentral is "partial 23S ribosomal RNA". It matches the Rfam family "Bacterial large subunit ribosomal RNA", at positions 1261 to 1667 of the family's 2925-position model. The record is from RNAcentral. Lineage: Bacteria; Pseudomonadati; Pseudomonadota; Gammaproteobacteria; Enterobacterales; Enterobacteriaceae.